GUCUUUGAACGCAAGUUGCGCCCGAAGCCAUUCGGUUGAGGGCACGUCUGCCUGGGUGUCACGCAUCAUGUCGCCCCCUAACACCACUGCCCCCUCCCCAUCAAGGGUGUGCGGCAGUGGGGGCGCGGACAUUGGCCUCCCGUGGCAUCCCGCUGCGGAUGGCCUAAAAAUGAGCGAUGGAGCGGCGCAAUCCGUGACGCGGUGGUGGUAAUCGCCCCUCGGGCCAUAGUCCGGAUCGUCUCUCCGUCGGUGCUCGACGGCUUUCCAUCCAACACAUGCGACCCCAGGUCAGGCGGGGCUACCCGCUGAGUUUAAGCAUAUCAAUAAGCGGAGGAAAAGAAACUAACAAGGAUUCCCCUAGUAACGGCGAGCGAACCGGGAAAUGCCC
RNAcentral lists this ribosomal RNA (388 nucleotides) under Duabanga grandiflora. Its description in RNAcentral is "eukaryotic LSU rRNA". The stretch from base 279 to 388 matches the Rfam family "Eukaryotic large subunit ribosomal RNA", at positions 1 to 110 of the family's 3401-position model. Lineage: Eukaryota; Viridiplantae; Streptophyta; Magnoliopsida; Myrtales; Lythraceae. The record is from RNAcentral.